Pan troglodytes (chimpanzee) is the source of this 1592-nucleotide long non-coding RNA. RefSeq lists it as uncharacterized. NCBI's taxonomy places the organism in Eukaryota, Metazoa, Chordata, Mammalia, Primates, Hominidae. The record is from RefSeq and is a predicted model, not a curated record. The transcript is spliced from 3 exons.
CACACCAAAAAACACAAAUCUUCCAGUGUUUCAUUGUCCUGUGGCCAAACCAGAGAGAGACACUAGCAGUCCUGUCCUCAGGGCCACUUGAAUUCACCUUGACUUUGGUUCCCAGAUGAGCAGGUCCUUCACGUCAUGAGGGUGCAACCCUUCAUCAUCUUGGGAUUUCAUCCUGGGACAGAGUGUGAGCAGCAGUAAGGUCAGAUAGGGGUGAGGUUAUAAUCUAGUGAGAUUUGGAUAGGUUCCAGCAACUUCACCUGAAAAAAAAAUAUCAAGACUGGUGACACUGAAGAUGCUUCUAACUCCAUGUCUGCAUUCCCUUAAUUUCACAAGCAGUCCACACGAUGGCCUGGGGUUUAGAUGGGAGUACUCUAAGGUGCAGAGAACAUUUGGAGUGCAAAUUGGAGUCAUACUGGCAAACUCUUGAUUUGAGGGAUUUUAUGUCUGGAACCAAAUGUGAAUGGAGUGGAUUGAUGCUGGGUGGGAUGUGGCCUCCAGAAUAGCCUCUUCUUUUCCUGAAUUGCAUGUUCCUUUUCAGGCUAGGGUUUCCUGGGUCUGAUUCUACCACUUCCACACUCAACGUUUCCCAGUUCAUGGGGAACGACCCUCAUGGGAAUCCAUUGCAUGAAUGUUUCUUUCUAAACACUGUUAUGUUUAAAUGAGUGGGCAGCUUUGAUACCUUUAAAACCAUAAAUUCAUGUUACAGGCACUAAAAAGGAAACUCUUGUUUUACCUCUUCUGGCUGCAUGAUUCCUGUAGGAUGAGAAGCACACAGCCAUGUCUGGUUUUUGGCUGAUAAUCUAGCCUCUGUUUCAUUUCAUCUGCAUGGCCUUCUCAUCAUGGAAGAGCUGUUUCAUUGGGCUGUUGCUGGAUGGGACUGCCUAUUCCUUCAGAUUAUUUAGCUGUCAGAAAAUUCAGAGAGCAAAAGGAACUUUGUGUAGGCUGGCUGCCCUCCAGGUUGUGGUUCAUUGUCUUCUUGUGGGAGCUGAGGUUGUUUGCACGUUGCAGGAGGAUUUUCAGUCCUCUGACAGGAAUCAUUGAAUCUUGCAUGACUCAAGCACAAGGCAGCUGAUUCUCUCAGGAGAGGCCAGUCCGAGGUUUGAGAACACUGCUCCACCCUGCACUUGGCUUUGUCAUGGUUGCUGCCUUUUCCAGAGAGGGCUUACAAGGCCCAGAAUGAAGGGAGGAAGUGACGUCAAGAGCCCAGCCAUCUUUCAUUGACACCCACCUCUGGGGUCUCAGUUCACCCCUUUGCCCCCGGUGAUCAAGACUGCAUCAAAGACUGGAACAUAACCCCACUAUGGCCACAAUGGAAAGGACCCCUGACCAUCAUUUUGACCACUCUGACUGCCAUGAAUGUAGAAGGAAUCCCAGCCUGGAUCCAUCACCAUAGUGUAAAAACUGCAGUGGCUGAGACCUGGGAGGUGAGAGCAAGCCUUGAAAACCCCUGCAAAAUGACACUGAGAAAGACGACAAUCCCUGCUCCAGUGACAACAGGAAGCUGACUGUUCUACACACUUCUGAAGCAUUAGAAAACUCGUUGUGGGAGUUAUUCUCCUUAAAAUUUGGGCUUGUAUAAUAAAGACUGAUUU